Molecule: long non-coding RNA, 581 nt
Organism: Manis javanica (Malayan pangolin)
Lineage: Eukaryota; Metazoa; Chordata; Mammalia; Pholidota; Manidae
Source: RefSeq, a predicted model, not a curated record
UUAAUAUCUGGGGUGCAGGGCGGGUUCGGCGGCUCCUAUAAAGCCAGCCUUGCCAGCCCCAAGCGGCUCCUUCAGCCCCUGAGACCUUUAGCCCCCCUGUUGUGAGAGAAAAAGAAAAGUCUGGUUCCCCCUGAGGCCUCUCCUUGGUGUACAGUUGGGCAUCUUCUGUGUCCUCACAUGGUCGUCUCUCUGUGCGGGCGUCCCUGUGGCCCUCUGCGAGUCCAGAUCUCCUCUUCUGCGGACACCACGUUGGGUCAAGUCGGAUCAGGGCCCACCCUCACAGCCCCAUCUUAAUCACCUCCAAUGUGGUCACAUUCCGAGGUCCUGAGGGUCGGGGCUUCAACAUACGCGUGGGAGGACGCUGUUUGGCUCAGCAUCAUCUUCUGUUUUUUGUGUUUUGGCCUCCUUCGAUGGGGACCUAAGGCCCCGUGAGGCCUUUGUUGAUGUAAGUGCCAGAGUGGCCCCGGCAGCAGGCGGGGUCCUCCCAGCCCCCCUGCCCUCUGUCUGCCCUCGGCUUAGUGCCCGUUCCUUUGUGUCUUGCUUUGUGCCGGGUCUUAAAGCCACAGGAGCAAAGCAGGGCA